This 69-nucleotide transfer RNA is filed under the name Rattus norvegicus (Norway rat). It matches the Rfam family "tRNA". From Rfam's summary of the family: Transfer RNA (tRNA) molecules are approximately 80 nucleotides in length. Their secondary structure includes four short double-helical elements and three loops (D, anti-codon, and T loops). Further hydrogen bonds mediate the characteristic L-shaped molecular structure. tRNAs have two regions of fundamental functional importance: the anti-codon, which is responsible for specific mRNA codon recognition, and the 3' end, to which the tRNAs corresponding amino acid is attached (by aminoacyl-tRNA synthetases). tRNAs cope with the degeneracy of the genetic code in two manners: having more than one tRNA (with a specific anti-codon) for a particular amino acid; and 'wobble' base-pairing, i.e. permitting non-standard base-pairing at the 3rd anti-codon position. The record is from Rfam by way of RNAcentral. Lineage: Eukaryota; Metazoa; Chordata; Mammalia; Rodentia; Muridae.
AGGGUUGUAGCUCAGUGGUAGAGCACUUGCCUUGUGCGCAAGAAGCCCCAAAUUCAAUGCCCAAUACUG